AUGGAGGCAAAGUUUGAGGAGGAGAGGAGGUGCCGACUGGAGAUCGAGGCCAAGCUGGAGCAGGAGCGGAAGCUGAGGGAGGAGCAAUCGGUUAUGUUGCAAAGCAUGGUCACCUGGAUGCAAGGACUUGGCGCGUCGAUGAACUAUGCGAUGCCGCCUCCUCCCUUCGCCUUACUUUCCUGCAGGACCUUCUGACACUCCAAAUCAGUCGUGGAACGCAUCGAACGACCCUCCUCCGGACCAGAACUCGCCGGCCGCCCAGUGGCCAACUUGGCCCCACAGACCUGAGCAGUGAGUGCCUUGUAGUACUAGUGUAUUGGACUUAUUAUACGUAUCGGACUAUAUUCUGUUUUAUGGACUAGUGUUAUGUAUCGGACUUGUGACAUAUGUGGACUAUAUUCUAUGUGAUGAACUUGUGUUAUGUAUCGGACUCGUGUUAUGUAUUGGACUUGUGAUAUAUGUGAUGGACUGUGUUAUUUGUAUCGA
This is a long non-coding RNA of Panicum virgatum (switchgrass), 486 nucleotides long. RefSeq lists it as uncharacterized. The record is from RefSeq and is a predicted model, not a curated record. The transcript is spliced from 2 exons. Lineage: Eukaryota; Viridiplantae; Streptophyta; Magnoliopsida; Poales; Poaceae.